Molecule: ribosomal RNA, 301 nt
Filed under: uncultured bacterium
Lineage: Bacteria
Description: partial 16S ribosomal RNA
Rfam family: Bacterial small subunit ribosomal RNA
Source: RNAcentral
CAGCCGCCGCGGUAAUACGGAGGGUGCAAGCGUUAAUCGGAAUUACUGGGCGUAAAGCGCACGCAGGCGGUCUGUUAAGUCAGAUGUGAAAUCCCCGGGCUUAACCUGGGAACUGCAUUUGAAACUGGCAGGCUUGAGUCUUGUAGAGGGGGGUAGAAUUCCAGGUGUAGCGGUGAAAUGCGUAGAGAUCUGGAGGAAUACCGGUGGCGAAGGCGGCCCCCUGGACAAAGACUGACGCUCAGGUGCGAAAGCGUGGGGAGCAAACAGGAUUAGAUACCCCUGUAGUCCCUGUCUCUUAACA